This 256-nucleotide ribosomal RNA is filed under the name uncultured bacterium. RNAcentral's name for it is "partial 16S ribosomal RNA". It matches the Rfam family "Bacterial small subunit ribosomal RNA", at positions 524 to 776 of the family's 1533-position model. The record is from RNAcentral.
UACGUAGGUGGCGAACGUUAUCCGGAAUUAUUGGGCGUAAAGGGUGCGUAGAUGGCCUGAUAAGUUAGCAGUGGGAAAUCGAGGCUCAACCUCGUGGAAGCUGGUAAUACUGUCAGGCUCGAGUGCAGGAGAGGUUAACGGAACUCCAUGUGGAGCGGUAAAAUGUGUAGAUAUAUGGAAGAACACCAAUAACGGCGAAGGCAGUUAACUAUUCUGUUACUGACAUUGAGGCACGAAAGCGUGGGGAGCAAAACGG